RNAcentral lists this ribosomal RNA (358 nucleotides) under uncultured Archaeospora. RNAcentral describes it as "partial 28S ribosomal RNA". Lineage: Eukaryota; Fungi; Glomeromycota; Glomeromycetes; Archaeosporales; Archaeosporaceae. The record is from RNAcentral.
GAGAGUAAAACAGUACGUGAAAUUGUUGAAAGGGAAACGAUUGAAGUCAGUCAUGCCGGCGUUGGAUUCAGCUUGCUUCGCGGAGCAGGCGCAUUUCCGCGCAUGGCAGGUCAGCGUCAGUUUUGCGCGGCGUGAAAAGGCUCGGGUAAGGUAGCUCUCUUCGGGGAGUGUUAUAGACCUGGGCAGAUGCGCUGCGCGGGACUGAGGAUUGCAGCGGACACCCCCUCGGGGGCGCGGCGACCGAACCCUGCUCGGCCACCCUCGUUCGAUAGCGUGCUAGCGGACGCGGGAGCGGCGGUGCACCGGAACAGGCAAGCCAGCGGUUCGCUAAGGAUGCUGACGUAAUGGCUUUAAACGA